GGAGGGAAAGAGAGGAAGGGAAAGAGAGAGAUGGAACAACAGGUCUUAAAAGCCCAGUGUGAGUCAUCUGGAGUGACGUCUAUAUGGAGCCUUCAUCCCCCUCUCCAUGCUAUGGGCGAGAGGCUGUGGACACGUUUGUGGAGAGACACUCCAUCACUGACGACUGAAGGGACUGAUUCAGAGGCACACACUAGGUGUGAGAGACACAUCUCUGAUAUGAUUCUCCCCUCAACACCCUAUACCAUCCGAAUCUAUUGCCAUCUCUUUCCGGUUCACUUCACACCUGACGGAUGGAUGUCUUGUUCCCAUCACACUAUAUUACUGGCAGUCAGUGAUUUCCCAGAAAUCAAUGUAGUGGCUGGACCUAAGCUGUAUCUGGCUAAAAAUCAACUGUCUGUUUAAAAUGUCUUCAUCUUUCACAGAACACAUGGAGCCUUUUUUCCCACAACAAAGAGGCGCUCAGAUGAGCCCUCUGGUGGUGACUUGGUGGAAUGAUAUAAACAAAGCACCAUCCUGGUUGCCAGGCCUCUCCAUAGUAACCCAUAUGGGCGAAGAGGCUGCAUCCACACAGCCAGACACCUCACACACCACUACACUCGCCAUACGGGACACAAAAAUGCUGAUUUAUGAUUUAUAAGUGCACUUGAGUCAUUUCCUGAACAGAAUCUGUCACCAGACCGAGAGCAGUUUUAUACUCAGUUCUUUACAUUGUCUUUCUUUGUAGCAGACGCUCGUAACCAUACACUUUUACCAGAGCAGGUACACACUUUCAUCAAAACUGGUCAUGUUUCAUGUUCAUAACUCCUUCCACUGUCGGUUGCUCCAGCAUCCAGCCAGCAACAGGACCACCUCACCUUAAUAUACCUGUAGAGGAGUCUUCCAGAAACCUAAAACGAGUGGAGCGGCUCUGUAUGUGAUUCUUGCUGUAUAUCCUCCUAUAGCUACUCAGGACUGUGUUUCCCGGAAGCGUUGUUGAGCUACCACCAUGGUUAAUGUGGAGAGAGAGAGAGAGAGAGAGAGAGACAGUGUGUUCAAAAUGGUAGGCUCUCUAUCAUACAUCAGUGCUACUUGUUUAACUAUGCUUUUGGGAAAUGCACCCCAGACACAUGUACAGAUGCUUCCUUAAUGUAAGUAGGAUAUUGGAAAGAAAAACAAACUAAGUGGUGACAAUGACAGCUGGAGAGAGCUGAAUUUAAAUAGAGAUGAAUCGGUGUGUGCUGAAGGAGACUGAGACAAACCUCAGGAGUGAGAGGGAGAGUCCACCAUCCUGAAUUAUACAUGGACUUUACAUUACAGUAACCAUUUUAAGUGUGUGUCCAUGAAUAAGUAAAGGUGAAGAGGACCGGUAAUGAAUGUUUAUAUUUUUGUUUAUGUUUAUGAUGUAUGUUUACAUUUGAAUGUUAUUUCCAGAACAAUAAAUAUGGCUUCCCUUCUCCAGUAAAUGACAGCAUGAUUAGAUUAGAUUAGAUUGUGUUCAUACAGCAGCCUGAUACAGCCGUCUGUGCUGCUGGUGGCUUAUAAAUGAGGAAAUACACUGGGGGAAAAAAACUGAAAGGAGAGAUUAAAAAAAUCAUCUUGACAAAUGUUUCUAAACAACCCAUUCACCGCUCGGCUAAAAGACUAGCCUCAGAAUGCAGACUGCUCUUAGCUCUUCCUCCUCAUCCUCAUCUUCCUCUUCCUCUGUGAGAGAGAGGAAACACCACUGGAGCUGCCAUCUCACCAGAUCCCCAGGCCCUGAUUGUUUGUGGCUCUGGCUAAGGGUCCUGCAUGUUCUCACCAGGACUGAGGAGGUGGGAUAAGGGUCCAGCAUGUUCUCACCCGGACUGAGGAGGUGGGAUAAGGGUCCAGCAUGUUCUCAUUGGGACUGAGGGGGUGGGUUCCUCUGCACAGUUACUGGAGGAACAGGUGUCUCUACCUGAUACCUGCCCAUCUAUCGAUCUAUCUAAUAUUGAUGCUUGUUGAUUUGUCAGCUACCAGAUAGUUCUAAUCCAGUUUCAUAUUAGCCAAUGACAGUUAGUGAAGCUGAGAUGUAAUUACACUGUUUCAGUAAUAUCAGCCAAUCAUUGUUCAGAAAGUUGAAGUCUA
Clupea harengus (Atlantic herring) is the source of this 2085-nucleotide long non-coding RNA. NCBI's taxonomy places the organism in Eukaryota, Metazoa, Chordata, Actinopteri, Clupeiformes, Clupeidae. The record is from Ensembl.